This 102-nucleotide small nuclear RNA is filed under the name Mesocricetus auratus (golden hamster). Lineage: Eukaryota; Metazoa; Chordata; Mammalia; Rodentia; Cricetidae. The record is from RNAcentral.
AUGCUUGCUUUCACAGCAUGUAUACUAAAAUUGUAACAGAGUAGGUUGGUAUAGCCCCCUAAGCAGGAUGAUAGUUAAAUUUAUGAAGUGUUCUAUAUCAAA